CUACGGGGGGCACCAGGCGAGAAAACUUUGCAAUGUGCGAAAGCACGACAAGGUUAAUCCGAGUGGUUUCUGCUAAAGGAACCUUUUGACAGUCCUAGAAACACUGUUGAAUAAGGGGUGGGCAAGUUCUGGUGUCAGCCGCCGCGGUAAAACCAGCACCUCAAGUGGUCAGGAUGAUUAUUGGGCCUAAAGCAUCCGUAGCCGGCUCUGUAAGUUUUCGGUUAAAUCUGUACGCUCAACGUACAGGCUGCCGGGAAUACUGCAGAGCUAGGGAGUGGGAGAGGUAGACGGUACUCGGUAGGAAGGGGUAAAAUCCUUUGAUCUAUUGAUGACCACCUGUGGCGAAGGCGGUCUACCAGAACACGUCCGACGGUGAGGGAUGAAAGCUGGGGGAGCAAACCGGAUUAGAUACCCCCGUAGUC
Molecule: ribosomal RNA, 422 nt
Filed under: uncultured archaeon
Lineage: Archaea
Description: partial 16S ribosomal RNA
Rfam family: Archaeal small subunit ribosomal RNA
Source: RNAcentral